Molecule: unclassified non-coding RNA, 338 nt
Filed under: soil metagenome
Description: partial contains 5.8S ribosomal RNA, internal transcribed spacer 2, and large subunit ribosomal RNA
Rfam family: 5.8S ribosomal RNA (bases 1-120)
Source: RNAcentral
GAUGAAGAACGUAGCGAAAUGCGACAAGUAAUGUGAAUUGCAGAAUUCAGUGAAUCAUCGAGUCUUUGAACGCACAUUGCGCCCCCUGGUAUUCCGGGGGGCAUGCCUGUCCGAGCGUCAUUGCUGCCCUCAAGCACGGCUUGUGUGUUGGGCUCCGUCCCCCCGGGGACGGGCCCGAAAGGCAGCGGCGGCACCGAGUCCGGUCCUCGAGCGUAUGGGGCUUUGUCACCCGCUCUGUAGGCCCGGCCGGCGCCAGCCGACAACCCAUCAUCCUUUUCAGGUUGACCUCGGAUCAGGUAGGGAUACCCGCUGAACUUAAGCAUAUCAAUAGCGGAGGA